This 489-nucleotide ribosomal RNA is filed under the name uncultured bacterium. RNAcentral's name for it is "partial 16S ribosomal RNA". It matches the Rfam family "Bacterial small subunit ribosomal RNA", at positions 30 to 507 of the family's 1533-position model. The record is from RNAcentral.
UUGAACGCUGGCGGCAGGCCUAACACAUGCAAGUCGAACGGUAACAGGAAACAGCUUGCUGUUUCGCUGACGAGUGGCGGACGGGUGAGUAAUGUCUGGGAAACUGCCUGAUGGAGGGGGAUAACUACUGGAAACGGUAGCUAAUACCGCAUAACGUCGCAAGACCAAAGAGGGGGACCUUCGGGCCUCUUGCCAUCGGAUGUGCCCAGAUGGGAUUAGCUAGUAGGUGGGGUAACGGCUCACCUAGGCGACGAUCCCUAGCUGGUCUGAGAGGAUGACCAGCCACACUGGAACUGAGACACGGUCCAGACUCCUACGGGAGGCAGCAGUGGGGAAUAUUGCACAAUGGGCGCAGGCCUGAUGCAGCCAUGCCGCGUGUAUGAAGAAGGCCUUCGGGUUGUAAAGUACUUUCAGCGGGGAGGAAGGGAGUAAAGUUAAUACCUUUACUCAUUGACGUUACCCGCAGAAGAAGCACCGGCUAACUCCGUG